UGAGGAAUAUUGCGCAAUGGGGGAAACCCUGAUGCAGCGACGCCGCGUGAGCGAUGAAGCCCUUCGGGGUGUAAAGCUCUUUCGGCAGGAACGAUAAUGACGGUACCUGCAGAAGAAGCUGCGGCUAACUACGUGCCAGCAGCCGCGGUAAUACGUAGGCAGCAAGCGUUGUUCGGAGUUACUGGGCGUAAAGGGUUCGUAGGCGGUCCUCUAAGUUCGGUGUGAAAUCUCCCGGCUCAACUGGGAGGGUGCGCCGGAAACUGGGGGGCUUGAGUAUGGGAGAGGGAAGUGGAAUUCCUGGUGUAGCGGUGAAAUGCGUAGAUAUCAGGAGGAACACCUGCGGUGUAGACGGCUUCCUGGACCAUGACUGACACUGAGGCACGAAAGCGUGGGUAGCAAACA
Molecule: ribosomal RNA, 402 nt
Filed under: uncultured prokaryote
Description: bacterial SSU rRNA
Rfam family: Bacterial small subunit ribosomal RNA
Source: RNAcentral